GACGAACGCUGGCGGCGUGCUUAACACAUGCAAGUCGAACGGAAAGGCCCUGCUUGCAGGGUACUCGAGUGGCGAACGGGUGAGUAACACGUGGGUGAACUGCCCUGCACUUCGGGAUAAGCCUGGGAAACUGGGUCUAAUACCGGAUAGGAGUCAUUUUUAGUGUGAUGGUUGGAAAGUUUUUUCGGUGUAGGAUGAGCUCGCGGCCUAUCAGCUUGUUGGUGGGGUAAUGGCCUACCAAGGCGGCGACGGGUAGCCGGCCUGAGAGGGUGGACGGCCACAUUGGGACUGAGAUACGGCCCAGACUCCUACGGGAGGCAGCAGUGGGGAAUAUUGCACAAGGGGCGCAAGCCUGAUGCAGCGACGCCGCGUGGGGGAUGACGGCCUUCGGGUUGUAAACUCCUUUCGCUAGGGACGAAGCUUUUUGUGACGGUACCUAGAGAAGAAGCACCGGCUAACUACGUG
This 465-nucleotide ribosomal RNA is filed under the name uncultured bacterium. RNAcentral's name for it is "partial 16S ribosomal RNA". It matches the Rfam family "Bacterial small subunit ribosomal RNA", at positions 28 to 507 of the family's 1533-position model. The record is from RNAcentral.